AAUAGCUGCCCUGACAAGCCAGCACAGAUUUAUCCUAUGAUAUAGGAUGGCAGUGUCAUUGUGCACCAUUUGAUCAUGAGAAGAUGUAAAUGCCCUUGUCCCUCGUCCAAGUUUACCACAGCUAUACAGACUGCCCACACCAUCUCUCACUUCUCUGUCGGUUCGUGCUGGUCUCUACAAGAAGGCCGAGACCAAUCUUAGGGACACGUGGCCUCAUUUCCACCACCCUGUGCCUCCUGCAUUGAGGACUGAGGCAGAAUCUGCCUCAACGUGUUGCUGUUUGGUUCUAGUGAUGAUCGCACUCUAUUUCACCUCUACUCCCAGCUGUAUUCUACCAAUACCAUCAAAAACCACUGAGAAUACAGUUCCUGAUUUUCUCUUC
Neofelis nebulosa (Clouded leopard) is the source of this 382-nucleotide long non-coding RNA. RefSeq lists it as uncharacterized. The transcript has 2 exons. The record is from RefSeq and is a predicted model, not a curated record. NCBI's taxonomy places the organism in Eukaryota, Metazoa, Chordata, Mammalia, Carnivora, Felidae.